CAAACUUAAUUGUCCGACCUCAUAUGACUUGGGUAAUUAUUCUUAUUUAAUAGUUGACAACUGAGACUUAUUCAAGAGGUUAUAUAAUGUGCCCAAUGUCUCAUAGCUCAGAAGUAACAAAGCAAGGACUGGAAUCUAUGUCUGUAUGACUGUAUAUCUGUAUAGCCUAUGUUCUUUAAUAUUGUAAACAUUUGAGGGGAGUGGGGAGAAAGAGAUCAACUGUUGAAAUGGUUUUGUAACUUGUUUUUGUUUCUUCUUACUGGAACAUUGUUAGCAUUUUAAUAAAACCCACACUCUUAUCACUGUAACAUACUCCAUCGUUUCAAUAAAUUCUUUGGUUUCAGAUAGGGAGCCCCAUUCAAGUGUCAAAGUAUAACAACACCUCUAGAUGCUCCCUUUUAAUUCAGUGGCCUUUCCCUCAUUAAGGAAGGAGUAGUAAAAGUGUUUCAUCUCUUCCCUUUAGGGAGAGACUGACAUAGCAGAGAGCAAAGUAGUCAAUGAUUUGCUUUGUAAAAAUUGAAUUUCAGCUAUAUAAUGAAAUGUUUACAAAAAAGUUUUGAUUACUGAGAGCCAGAAUUUCCUGUCCUGAAGAGUGGAAGAGUUACCUUAGGUAGUAGAAGGGGAGGCAUGACACAGGUCUAGCAAGAGGAAGUCGUUCUGGAGCAUCCAUAACCACGGGCUCCCAGUUUCUGAAUUCUGGCUCUGACUUUACUAGCUAUCUGACUUGGGCAAUUAUAUUUAAUCUCUAUCCUUCUGUUUUCUAAGAUAUUACUAACUUUUAAAGUUGAUGCAGAAAUCAAAUGAAUUAAUAUUAAGAAAGUGCUCAGAACAGUGCCUGGUACAUAGUAAACCCUCAAAUGUUCAUUCUUUCUCCUCCCUUCCCUUCUUCCUCCUCUUUCUAGGCUGAUAUGUGUUCCUGACAUCAGAGCACGUAUCCUGCACUUCUCCUCUACCAAUUAUUUUGAGAAUCUGAGAACAGAAAAUACCUAUUCCUGCUGCCUGGAAGAUGGCUGUGCUCCUGAGGUGUCUUCCUUGGUCUUCUCUAUCAACCAGGAGAGGAACCAAACCAGCAACCUUGCCACCAUGAUUAUGGGUACAAAUAUGGUCCAUAAAACAGGAGCUAGAGAUUCUCCGUUCACCAUCUCCCAGGAACUGGAUACCCCACUCCCCCACACCUUUGGGACCUUGGAAUUAGACGAGACUACCAAACUAGGACUCAAAACCUUAUUUGAAGAAAAGAAACCAGGGUCCUUGCGGGUAAAGGUGACAUUUUCCUAAGGAAAGGAAGGUGGAGUUUCUCCACUUUGAGACCUGAAGAAGAGGAUGCAAGAGGGACAAUGAACGAAGCACAGUGCUGGAGAACCCAGUUAGAGGGCUGCUGGAGGAGCCUCUGAAGUACAGGGUCAUGAAGGUCUAGGCCACCAGCUGGCUACCCUCAUGCCGCCCGAGGGAGAAGUGAGAUUUAACAUGUUCAAUUCUCCUAUGUAGAGAGUGAUUCCCCUCUGGAAAUGUCCUACCCUUUUGCUAAAGGAACAUAUGCUUUCUGCAAUGUUGGUCUUGUGAACACCAAAGACACAGAGUGGGAUGUGGUGGAAGGGUCCAUUCUUCCCAUCUCCUACCGGCCUCCAGUGAAGAUGAAGGGUCACCCUUGGGUAAACUGUGACUCUGAGCUCCAGCUGCUCAUUGCAGUAUCAGCGGAUGUCCCAGAGCCAGCUCCUGAAAGCUGAUGGCACCAAAGGAAUACCCUGGAAUGAAAUGGAAAAUCAACUAAGUCCCGUAAUUUAAAGAAUGCUGUUCCCAUAUAGGGAAUGUCGGUACCCAGCAAUCUCUUGAGCUAUUGUUUAAUAAAUGAUGUUGGAAUAAAUAGAAUAUAUGUUAAGAUUCUGGGUCAUACCAAAACCAAAAAUUAAGUCCAGAUGGAUUGAAUUGCUAACUGAAAAAAAACGUAGCAUGUGAAAAUUGAAACUAUCAAAUGUAAGGUAAAAAUAUAAGAGUUUUUUUUCCCCCUAUAAUCUUGGAGCAGUGCAAGCAAGAUAGGAAACUCAGAAGUUAUAAAAGGAAAAAAUGCCAGAUCAAACCACACAGGAAUUUCCAAAAGAUACCCUAAAUACAGUCAAGAUAUAGGGAACAUGCCAUCAGGAGAAAAUACUUAUAAUAUAGAGAGGGUGCCA
Long non-coding RNA from Rhinolophus ferrumequinum (greater horseshoe bat), 2171 nucleotides. RefSeq lists it as uncharacterized. The record is from RefSeq and is a predicted model, not a curated record. The transcript has 3 exons. NCBI's taxonomy places the organism in Eukaryota, Metazoa, Chordata, Mammalia, Chiroptera, Rhinolophidae.